GGGUCAGUAGGUUGGUCGUGCCACCGGUACGUACUGGUCUCACUGAUUCCUCCUUCCUGAAGACCCGUAAUGCCAUUAAUUUGGUGUUGCGGGGAAACAGGACUGUUACUUUGAAAAAAUUAGAGUUUUUAAAGCAAGCUAACGCUUGAAUACAUUAGCAUGGAAUAAUGAAAUAGGACGAUCGAUCCUAUUUUGUUGGUUUCUAGGAUUGAGGUA
RNAcentral lists this ribosomal RNA (216 nucleotides) under Glomeromycotina sp. Its description in RNAcentral is "partial small subunit ribosomal RNA". The stretch from base 40 to 216 matches the Rfam family "Eukaryotic small subunit ribosomal RNA", at positions 686 to 864 of the family's 1831-position model. Lineage: Eukaryota; Fungi; Glomeromycota. The record is from RNAcentral.